CACGCCGUAAACGGUGGGUACUAGGUGUGGGGGACAUUCCACGUUCUCCGUGCCGCAGCUAACGCAUUAAGUACCCCGCCUGGGGAGUACGGCCGCAAGGCUAAAACUCAAAGGAAUUGACGGGGCCCCGCACAAGCGGCGGAGCAUGCGGAUUAAUUCGAUGCAACGCGAAGAACCUUACCUGGGUUUGACAUAUGCCGGAAAGGCCUAGAGAUAGGCCCCCCCUUGUGGUCGGUUUACAGGUGG
Molecule: ribosomal RNA, 246 nt
Filed under: uncultured Tessaracoccus sp.
Lineage: Bacteria; Bacillati; Actinomycetota; Actinomycetes; Propionibacteriales; Propionibacteriaceae
Description: partial 16S ribosomal RNA
Rfam family: Bacterial small subunit ribosomal RNA
Source: RNAcentral